CUUCCCUCAAACCUGACCCACUGCACCCUGGAGGGGGGUGCAGGUGGGAGUGUGGGUGUGUGUGCAGGUGUGUGUGGGGGUGCUUUGGCUUCUGGGAGCAGGAGCCAGGCCUGGGGAGCCUGUGGAGCCCCCUGCAGCAGGCUCUGGUGGUGAGUGGGCUUGAGAGCAGCUGUGCCCCAGGCCCACCUUGUGUGGGUGCCCGGUCUCCUGCCCACUCAGGGCUCAGCCCCGAGGCCUGGCUCUCUGGGUGGAGUCUCCCAGCCCCUACCCCGGGCACAGAGGGCUGGGCUGGGGGGUUGCAAGGGGAAGGGCUUUGGCUGCAGGGCGGGGAUGGAGGCAGGGCUGAGAGGUUGACUGGACGUGGCCCCACGGCUUUGGCAGCGGCUCAGGACCAGGAUCAGUGGGCAGUGGGACCCCUCCUCGGGCCCGGGACCCCUGCUCCGGCCCAGGCCCUGGAUUCCCUCCCGCCGAAAGAAGGAGCUUCCCCUGGCUUUAACCUCAUUCUGGAUUGUGAUGGCUGACUGCAGUCCACAGACAGUGAUGGAUUAAGUAUUUUUGAGAAGCAGCCUACAAUUAGACCACGGCGGUUCCUCCGAAGCCUCCGGCUGCAGUCGUUAUGUUAUGAAUCUAAAGGUGAGGGCUCAUUUAGAUGGUUUUCCGGGUUUCAGCGCAAGUCACCCGAACUACCAGAAGGGUUAAGAGAGACCAAGGCGGGAGCGUCCGACCCUUCCGACCUUGAACGGCUGUGGCUAUCCUAGUGCAGAUGGAAAGCUCUGGACCAGGGGAGGGGCUGCGGGCUAUGGCCGGGGACUGAGAGAGGCCCCAAAGCCACCUGGCUGCAAGGCCGGUUGGCUCUCCCGCCCUCCAAGAAGGCUAGGGCUUGUCAGGGACUUCCUCUGCAGCAUAGCUGCUGGACCUGGGAUUUUCAGUUGUUGAUGCAGCUGCCUAUGGAGUCACGUAUCCGGGGAGAGGGGGACAGAGGCAGAAUUCACUCGCCUGAUGGGGCAGAAGGGGAGUUUUCUACUUCUCUGCAAGCCCAACUGUCACUAGCGGUGCACUACAAGCAGACACAGGGACUCCUCCGUGCUCUCUGAUGCCCCUCCUGUCCCCCCAGCCACCACCACCCGCUCCCAGGCCUGCAAUCCCCAUGCCCGCUCGGUGCCAACGUACUAUUGGGCCCCCAGCGCCCCGCCAUCGCCCCGGACCCAAGCAACUCUGCUUCUGAUUCCAGCCCGGCCAGCCCCUGCCAAACCAGAAUGGAUUUCUCUAUUCUCCCGUGAGCACUGAGCUUCCUUAUUAAAUACUGCUCUCUUCUUUUUCAUGGUAUUAAUUAAGAGCUCACUAGGGGUAGAUAUGCAAGAUAAUGAGAUCAUCUGGACCUUGUUUUGCCUCCAUCCUUCCAAAGUGCCUCGAAUUGGGUCUUGCUUUUUAAAGCCGCAGGGCCUAAGGAAGCUGAAACAACCCGGCGGGAGCCCGGCUAGCCACAGAAGAAGGCUCUCCCUGCCAGGGCCUGUCGUUAAGGCCCAAGGGGCUGCGUGACGGCCAACCGGCUACUGCCCGUGGACCGCACGGUAGCGCUUGUCGCAGUGAUGGCGUGGCCACCCCCCGCCCGCUAAGCCUAUGUCUUCAACUAAAGAGUACAGGCUCCUGGAAACCCCAGCGGGGCUCCCUUCCUCCCUCGCUAAUUGUGGAGCCAGUAACAAGGAGCCUGCUGCUGGGGUGACCCUGUUAGCUUCGUAGCAGAAAAUGCCUUACCAGGGAGGCUCCCUUCAGAGCCGCGGGAGGGCAGGAGGGGAGAAGGUGACGGCCCAGGGCUUCCUGAGGGGUUAAGGGGAGGCAUCGGUCACCCCCUCCUUCGAGAAAAUUCCCUUGGUCAAUACCCGUUAACCUAUGGCUACCCCGCACCUCCGCUGUGGAAAUUUAAAAACACGUGUGGCAUGUGCUUUCUUGUUUUCUGGUACAUGGCUGAGAGCAAGUCCCGUCUCCAUGCUAGUGGAGGCAGAGAGGAGAUGGUGGGCAGAGCCUCGUUUCAAACCCAGUUUCCUGGUCAACUAUUUUCAUUGGCCUUUGGGCAGAUUUGUCUAUCUUUUCUAAAGGAUUAGCAAUCUGGGCUCCACCCUGAGUCACGCUACCCCCUCACGACAACAAAAUAUUUCCUUGAGCCGUAGGUGUUGAUUGUCCAGAGUCUGAAGCUUUCUGUGUGUAAAGAUAAGGGGGGGGGCUCCCCGCCUGGAAAGGGUCGAUUGCAGAAUAGGAACAGAUGAUUCUAUCAGAGCCGGACUGUAUCAAUGUGAAAGCCAGCUUUCUUCUCGGGUGCAUAUUAACCCGAGGCAGAGAAGGUUGAGGGAUAAGUCAAUGAUUAUGGCGUCCAAGUCUUGAAAGAGGGGCUCUACCCUCUCCAGUCAAUACCCUGAGAAUGGAGAGGUUAAGUUGGACCCGGGGUUAAUCUGUGUGGAGUUGGCUUCAGGCUUCUAGAAAAACUAAUUUUAGGUUUAGAUCCUGGGCCAGCAGUCAGCAUUGGGCUUAGUUAUUUAUGCCAUGUAUAAAAAGUGACAGCAAUUAUACUUUGAAUUACCUUAUAAUGAUGUAGGUUGAUACUCUGCCUCAUCUUUUGGACAAAGGGCAUGUUUUAUGAGCUGCAAUUAAGCAAUUAAGAUGUGCCCUGCUUAAGAAAUGGGGGUCAUUUUCCAUCAUUAAAAAAUAAUGGCCAUUUGAGAUGAAAACUAAUAAUACUUUCAAUUCUGACCCAAACCCUUUCUGAUUAACCAGGAUCUGGGUUAAAAAUGACUGACCCAAAGAGGAUGCUUAAAUUCUAGAAAAAUGGGUGGAGGCCUAAGUGAAGGCAGAGCUUCUUUAUCUGCACUUCGGGGGUCUUCCAAAUGGCUGAAGGAACCCCAUCUCUGAAGAUGGCCUCAUUGCUCUGAUUUAGGACUCCCCCUGACUAGAGACAGAGGGAUGGACAAGGAGACCUCAGUGACUUUUCCUAUCGGAUUCGCUAGUGUGAUAAUGAAGUUGCAUCCCACCUUGAGUCAUCCUAAGACACCUUUGGCUGUGGCUUUCACUUGCAGCAUCCUAGAGCUGCUCCAGAGUGUUCAUAACUUGACCUCUCACACGUGUCUUCCCCAUGACCAUCUUCUCCCCUCCCAUCCG
This 3150-nucleotide long non-coding RNA is filed under the name Ornithorhynchus anatinus (platypus). RNAcentral describes it as "lncRNA (ENSOANG00000040704.1)". Lineage: Eukaryota; Metazoa; Chordata; Mammalia; Monotremata; Ornithorhynchidae. The record is from RNAcentral.